This 3101-nucleotide long non-coding RNA is filed under the name Triticum aestivum (bread wheat). Its description in RNAcentral is "long non-coding RNA (TAES_LNC023081)". Lineage: Eukaryota; Viridiplantae; Streptophyta; Magnoliopsida; Poales; Poaceae. The record is from RNAcentral.
UUGUGAUUACAGUGUACGUCCGUUUGUUUGCCUUGAACUUCAGCCUAUCUCCUAUCAUCUCCUGUCAGGUUGUUGAAACGAACCCUUUCGUUGCAUGGCACAACCUGUUCUGUUGAACAAAAAAGCAAAAACCCAAAAAAUGAAGUAAAUAAUCAUUGUAAAAAAUUAGAAAGCAUCCUAAUGGUUAUGAAAAAAAUCAUGGCCGAAAAACUGAAAUAAAAAUCCCUAUUAUGACAGUAAGUGUGUUUCUCCUCUUUAGCCACACAUGCAGAGCUUAACAAGCCGGACAAAAAACAUUGUAAAAAGGUACAUCAAUAAUCAAAAGAUCAUGAACGUGCCUGUGCAUUGAGCACUGAUAUAAAAAAGAGAGUCAAGCUGCUACAACCUAAAAUUUAGUCUAAACUAGCAUAUAUUACUAGGCAUGACUGAACAAAACAACAAAAAAUAAAAAAAAAGUCUACAGGAAACGAGCUACAAAUGAGAAAAAUGACAACGACAGGAACAAGCAACAAAAAUCUACAGGAAACAACAUGCAUGGGUUUGAAAAUGAACAUCAAACCGUGAAUUCUAUUAAAUCUGCACACUCUACAUUCUACAUUCUACCUGGGUCAAAAAUGGCUAGAAAGAAAGAGAUACACUGAACUCUUAAAGAUGAACCAACCAUAUCAGUGCAAAAACAUACAGUUACAAAGAGAAGACUGCUGUUAGUAAGUAAAACACUAAUAAAAUCACAAUUUUUUUUUUGAUGUUGCUAGUUAAAUCAUGGCCAUGGUUUCUAGAAGUAAAGCCAAGCUGCAAACUUUAAUAAAUGAUCCCUAAUUUUUUAGACUUAUAAACUCCCUAUUAUGGCAGUAAGUGUCUUUCCACUCUCUAACCACACAGGAAUAGCUUGACACGCUGGAUAAAAAAAUUGAAUGAUUCAAUGUAAACAACUACCUAACUAGGGGCUCCCCUCUGCUUCAAAACUCACGGAGAAAAAAAAGGUCAACCUUCAACAAUAUAGUCUGUGAUGAUGAGUAUAAACUAAAAAAUAGUAUCAGAAAAUGAAAAAAUUCAAAUAAAAAAGAAACAGAGGCUUUUGAGUUACCCUUGCGUUUUUUAACUCCUUCCAGAGAUACAUGCUGAUGCCGCUUCCCCGGCUCUCGCGGUUGCAAGGGCUCAGACAAACUCUCAAACCAUCUCCUGUGCACAUAAAAAAGGCGUCAAACAUAAAUUUGUGCUAGUGAGAGGCAUACAUAUUCAGGUAAUGAUUUUAGUGAGAUAUAAAUUUGUGCUAGUGAGAGGCAUACAUAUUCAGCAAAAAAUCUGACAGAACAAAUAAACAUGCCCUACAACAUGAAUUGGAUAUAAAUCAUUAUCUCCUACAGUCAUAAGUCAAUCUCGAGUCUGCAUCAUGCAUUAGACAGAAUCAAAACAAGUGGAGAACUAGCAUGCACAAUGUGUAACUAGCAGGUACAGAAAUAUGCCUAAUUGUGGGCUGAAUACCGUAACACAGACCCCGUGCAUUCAGUUUGGGACCCCUGAAACUAAAUUCUAGGAUAUCAAAUAUUCAUUCUCUCUCUCAAUUUUCCACUUAUGACAUACACAAAGUAAGAACAAAACAAAUCUGGGUUCUGAAUCACUAUUGGUGCAGCAGGUCCUUGUGCUGCAAAAUGCCUACAUGCAUUCAGGCCAAAUGAACCAUGGCUACUACAAACAUAUUUAAAAGAAAAACAAAACCAACCACAACAUGCUCUAGACAACAUGUAGGAGAUCAAGUUGUCAAAAAAAAGGAAAAAAGAAUGGCUAACAGAGGUUAUAUACUAACAAAAGAAAGUCAAACUUAUAGGAAGCCUAAAACACAUACUCCUAUCUCUACAGAGGGAGCAAAAGGGAGCACUGCGCGCUACUGCGACUCGACACCUAACCCUUCUUUGUUACUUAUUAGGCUCAUUUUAUCCGACACACACCGUAACUAGUACUAAUCUGUUUCCUCGGCGCAGCGGCGUCAAAACAGUGUCAGGGGGAAGAGCGCAAAAACAAUCUGAACAAGGAUGGAAGUUACAGAAAUGGAAAUUCAUUUCCAGAACGUGACUGAAUCUAGCUAGAAGCAAAGGAACCAUUUUAUUUCUUAAUCACUCUCAAAACCAGGCUCGGUUCUUCACUAAAUGAUCUAUGUGUUUCUUCUAGGACAAGGAAUAACUCACUCACCCUCAGCCCGGGACAUUGCUAAUCGACAAGGGAAACGUGACUGAAUGCUCUCUUGAAGCAACUUCAGACACAAGGGGAACGCAAAAGAAAACUGAAUUGAAGAGAGGUGCCUCAGAAACAGAGCUUUGUUUAUCGUGGUAAGUGAUUCUAGCUACAAGCAAUGAACUGGUUCCAUCCUCAAUCACCACGUCGACGUGCCGAUCGACGCAGUCAGCGAGAGACACUAUUAUGCAUGAAUGCACAAAUGAAAAUCUUAAAAAAAAAAUAUAAACUCUGGGGGCAAUUCUCUGCUUGAAACUACUAAUCAAAAACUUGAUACAAACAAAUAAACAUGCCACUGCUAGAGAGAUAAGUUCAGUAAAUCAUUUAUCUUUGAUUCCGGAGAAAUAGAUAUGAAACAUGCUACUGAUCAUAGGGUUUCAGCAAAGAAAAAACUGGAAAAAAACAUGCCACUCCUAAAUGAUAGGUUCAGUAAUCAUCCUCUUGUUUUCCCCAGAGAAAUGAUAUCAAUAUCCUACUGAUUCGCAAAAGGUUUCAGCAAAGAUCUGAAGAUAAAAAUCACACACAAAAAAGGGGACACCCCUACAUGCCACAACUUGAAGAAAAAUGACACGAAAAGAAUUGGCUAAAAUCCUGGAGCCGAUUAUAUGGUUGAAGCUAUUAAUCUACACUUGAUACAAACAAAAACGACCCAAAUCUCCUCAGAUCUACGGUGUAGCAACAACAAACAAACAAAAAACAGAUGGAAAAAGAAGGUAGGGGAAACUUACUCCACCAGCAGCGGCCAUCCUCUCUCGUUGGGCGUGCAGCACGUCAAUCUGUUCGUUGAAGAAGCCUUGGAGCUCGGCGUCUCUUCUUCCCCUGCGGAGUUCUUCCGAUUUGAGACUGGGGAAUGGAGAGAGACAAAGUGG